RNAcentral lists this long non-coding RNA (989 nucleotides) under Mustela putorius furo (domestic ferret). Its description in RNAcentral is "lncRNA (ENSMPUG00000026359.1)". The record is from RNAcentral. Lineage: Eukaryota; Metazoa; Chordata; Mammalia; Carnivora; Mustelidae.
CUCCCCUCGCCGUAAGCCCCGGGAGCUGAGGGCGGUCUUUCCCGGGGCCCCCGGCCCAGCACUGACCUGUGUAAGAGGACGCGCUGCACAGAGUCCAGGUCCUCCAGGUUCCGGGGGGCAGGUUUGGGGACACUGGACCUGCCCACCUGAAACAUGCCCACUUGAGACUCGCUGCAAAAGCGUACAAUGGAUUCACAGGCGGAAGGCGGAGGGGGCGCCGAGGGCUGUGCCGCUGCACUCGCAGCGCCGCCUGCCUCGGGCACUGAUGGGGCCGCAGCUGGGGAACUCGGAGCUGAAAGAAAAGGCUGUCAGCUUUGGACCCUCAAAAACCUGACUGAAGGGUAGCGGUGUGCAGCGACGGCUGUCCUUGUCCUUCGCCCGCUUGCUAACCCGCGCGGAUCUGGGAGCCCCGAGGCGGGCGGCACAACCACCCGGGCGUGGGAGACCACUGGGCAGAUUCCAAGGAAAAGUUGGCCAUGUAGGUCUUCGGAUAUGCAGGAACAGGCAGCUUUGGGGAUCUAGGGAGCAACUUUGCCACCUCUCUUUGUUCCGUCCAAGAUUCAUAUUUCUGAAAUUAAAGUCUGGUCAAGGCUCCAUCCUGUGUCCACCUCUUGGUCCUGAGACAGACCUUCUGCACAGUAUCAAGUCUACGCACCAGAAAAGGGGCGGUGUCCCCCCAAAAGGCAAAGAGAUACUUGGGUAAGAAUAAAAUAAGGAAUACCCCCUGCUUAAUGUAUUCAACUCAGAUGUUUUCCAAUGCUUUUUUGUGUGUUUGUGGUACUUAUAAUCAUUUUCCUUAGUUACAGAGACAAAUAUGUAGUAUUCUGUGAAGUUGUAAUAAAUCAGAUAUCCACCAACAUGUUUUUCUGAUGUGUUUGUUUAUUUUCUCUAAGCAAAUGCUCCUUCAGGUAGACCAGACAUGGGCUGUUGACCACAGAGGCCUAAAUUCUUGAUGAGUGCCACUGUGUAAAGUUAAGGCAAGUUACAUU